Molecule: non-coding RNA, 156 nt
Filed under: uncultured Parabacteroides sp.
Lineage: Bacteria; Pseudomonadati; Bacteroidota; Bacteroidia; Bacteroidales; Tannerellaceae
Source: RNAcentral
UCAUUUACUCGGAUUAAAAGGGAAUCAGGUGUGAGUCCUGAACAGUCCCGCUGCUGUGAAGCUCCGAUAUACAUCUUGAAAUACCUCGUUGCCACUGGUUUUUAGCCGGGAAGGCUUCAAGAUGGGAGUCAGUCAGAAGACCUGCCGUUACUCUUU